AUUGAACGCUGGCGGCAGGCCUAACACAUGCAAGUCGAGCGGAUGAAGGGAGCUUGCUCCUGGAUUCAGCGGCGGACGGGUGAGUAAUGCCUAGGAAUCUGCCUGGUAGUGGGGGAUAACGUCCGGAAACGGGCGCUAAUACCGCAUACGUCCUGAGGGAGAAAGUGGGGGAUCUUCGGACCUCACGCUAUCAGAUGAGCCUAGGUCGGAUUAGCUAGUUGGUUGGGUAAAGGCCUACCAAGGCGACUAUCCGUAACUGGUCUGAGAGGAUGAUCAGUCACACUGGAACUGAGACACGGUCCAGACUCCUACGGGAGGCAGCAGUGGGGAAUAUUGGGCAAUGGGCGAAAGCCUGAUCCAGCCAUGCCGCGUGUGUGAAGAAGGUCUUCGGAUUGUAAAGCACUUUAAGUUGGGAGGAAGGGAAGUAAGUUAAUACCUUGCUGUUUUGACGUUACCAACAGAAUAAGCACCGGCUAACUUCGUG
RNAcentral lists this ribosomal RNA (484 nucleotides) under uncultured bacterium. RNAcentral's name for it is "partial 16S ribosomal RNA". It matches the Rfam family "Bacterial small subunit ribosomal RNA", at positions 30 to 507 of the family's 1533-position model. The record is from RNAcentral.